GAUGAACGCUGGCGGCGUGCCUAAUACAUGCAAGUCGAGCGAACAGACGAGGAGCUUGCUCCUCUGACGUUAGCGGCGGACGGGUGAGUAACACGUGGAUAACCUACCUAUAAGACUGGGAUAACUUCGGGAAACCGGAGCUAAUACCGGAUAAUAUAUUGAACCGCAUGGUUCAAUAGUUAAAUACGGUUUUGCUGUCACUUAUAGAUGGAUCCGCGCCGCAUUAGCUAGUUGGUAAGGUAACGGCUUACCAAGGCAACGAUGCGUAGCCGACCUGAGAGGGUGAUCGGCCACACUGGAACUGAGACACGGUCCAGACUCCUACGGGAGGCAGCAGUAGGGAAUCUUCCGCAAUGGGCGAAAGCCUGACGGAGCAACGCCGCGUGAGUGAUGAAGGUCUUCGGAUCGUAAAACUCUGUUAUUAGGGAAGAACAAAUGUGUAAGUAACUAUGCACGUAUUGACGGUACCUAAUCAGAAAGCCACGGCUAACUACGUG
Molecule: ribosomal RNA, 497 nt
Filed under: uncultured bacterium
Lineage: Bacteria
Description: partial 16S ribosomal RNA
Rfam family: Bacterial small subunit ribosomal RNA
Source: RNAcentral